UACGUAGGGAGCGAGCGUUGUCCGGAAUCAUUGGGCGUAAAGGGCUCGUAGGCGGCUUGGUAAGUUAGAUGUGAAACCUCCAGGCUCAACCUGGAGUCGCCAUCUAAUACUGCCAUGGCUAGAGUCUGGUAGGGGUCUACGGAACUCCUGGUGUAGCGGUGAAAUGCGCAGAUAUCAGGAAGAACACCGGUGGCGAAGGCGGUAGACUGGGCCAGUACUGACGCUGAUGAGCGAAAGCGUGGGGAGCGAACAGG
Molecule: ribosomal RNA, 254 nt
Filed under: uncultured bacterium
Lineage: Bacteria
Description: partial 16S ribosomal RNA
Rfam family: Bacterial small subunit ribosomal RNA
Source: RNAcentral